RNAcentral lists this ribosomal RNA (474 nucleotides) under uncultured bacterium. RNAcentral's name for it is "bacterial SSU rRNA". It matches the Rfam family "Bacterial small subunit ribosomal RNA", at positions 1017 to 1498 of the family's 1533-position model. The record is from RNAcentral.
CCUUCGGGAGCUUUUAUACAGGUGCUGCACGGCUGUCGUCAGCUCGUGUCGUGAGAUGUUGGGUUAAGUCCCGCAACGAGCGCAACCCUCGUCACUAGUUACUAACGGUUCGGCCGAGGACUCUAGUGAGACUGCCUUCGUAAGGAGGAGGAAGGUGAGGACGACGUCAAGUCAUCAUGGCCCUUACGGCUAGGGCAACACACGUGCUACAAUGGCCAGGACAGUGAGACGCGAUACCGCGAGGUGGAGCAAAUCUAUAAACCUGGUCUCAGUUCGGAUUGUAGUCUGCAACUCGACUACAUGAAGCUGGAAUCACUAGUAAUCGUAGAUCAGCUAUGCUACGGUGAAUACGUUCCCGGGUCUUGUACUCACCGCCCGUCACACCAUGGGAGUUGAUUUCACCCGAAGCGGGGAAGCUAAACUGGCUACCCUCCACGGUGGAAUCAGCGACUGGGGUGAAGUCGUAACAAGGUA